Molecule: regulatory RNA element, 131 nt
Organism: Mycobacterium marinum M
Lineage: Bacteria; Bacillati; Actinomycetota; Actinomycetes; Mycobacteriales; Mycobacteriaceae
Rfam family: ALIL pseudoknot
Source: Rfam
AGCUGAUUCUUUCUGGCGGAGCUCGACCGCCAACGCAGGAAGUAGUCGUGUGCAAUGACACGAAUCGCGACGAAUUCGGGGGUCGAGCCCACCUGCACCGGCUGUGAUCGGCAGUCGGGCGGGUGGCCCCG